This 456-nucleotide ribosomal RNA is filed under the name uncultured bacterium. RNAcentral describes it as "bacterial SSU rRNA". It matches the Rfam family "Bacterial small subunit ribosomal RNA", at positions 923 to 1379 of the family's 1533-position model. The record is from RNAcentral.
GCACAAGCGGUGGAGCAUGUGGUUUAAUUCGACGCAACGCGAAGAACCUUACCUGGGCUCGAAAUGCUAUGGACCGGGGUAGAAAUAUCCCUUCCCCGCAAGGGGCCGUAGUAUAGGUGCUGCAUGGCUGUCGUCAGCUCGUGUCGUGAGAUGUUGGGUUAAGUCCCGCAACGAGCGCAACCCUUAUCUUCAGUUGCUACCAUUUAGUUGAGCACUCUGACGAAACCGCCUCGGAUAACGGGGAGGAAGGUGGGGAUGACGUCAAGUCCUCAUGGCCUUUAUGUCCAGGGCUACACACGUGCUACAAUGGCCGGUACAAACCGUCGCAAACCCGUGAGGGGGAGCUAAUCGGAAAAAGCCGGCCUCAGUUCGGAUUGUAGUCUGCAACUCGACUACAUGAAGCUGGAAUCGCUAGUAAUCGCGGAUCAGAACGCCGCGGUGAAUACGUUCCCGGGC